CCCUUAGAUGUUCUGGGCUGCACGCGUGUUACAAUCGGGAGUACAACAAGAUUGCAAAUCCUAGUGGAUGAGUGGUUCUUCGAAAUUUUCUGAAGACUGGGAUAGUUGAUUGAAAUUAUUCAGCUCGAACGAGGAAUUCCUUGUAAUUGUAAUUCAUUAUAUUGUAAUGAAUACGUCCCUGCCCUUUGUACACACCGCCCGUCGCUCCUACCGAUUGAACGAUCCGGUGAAUUAUUUGGAGUAGCUCUGGAAGUUGCAGAACUUCCUAUGUCACGAAAUUUUGUAAACCUUAUCGUUUAGAGGAAGGAAAAGUCGUAACA
This 320-nucleotide ribosomal RNA is filed under the name uncultured eukaryote. RNAcentral describes it as "partial 18S ribosomal RNA". It matches the Rfam family "Eukaryotic small subunit ribosomal RNA", at positions 1470 to 1796 of the family's 1831-position model. The record is from RNAcentral.